AAAACUUUCAACAACGGAUCUCUUGGCUCUGGCAUCGAUGAAGAACGCAGCGAAAUGCGAUAAGUAAUGUGAAUUGCAGAAUUCCGCGAAUCAUCGAAUCUUUGAACGCACAUUGCGCCCAGCAGUUACUCUGCUGGGCAUGCCUGUUCGAGCGUCAUUUCACCCCUCAAGCCUUUUUCUAGUGCUUGGUGUUGGGAGACCAAGGGCCUUUUUUGGCCGCUGGCUCUUGAAAUCUAUUGGCAACAUUCCGCGCGCUGGUUGCUCCCUUGCGUAGUAAUUAUCUACAUCGUAUCGGGCCCCGCAUAGAAGAAGCCACUAAAAACCUUAAUUUAACUACAAAGGUUGACCUCGAAUCAGGUAGGAAUACCCGCUGAACUUAAGCAUAUCAAUAAGCGGAGGAAAAGAAACCAACAGGGAUUGCCCUAGUAACGGCGAGCGAAGCGGCAACAGCUCAAAUUUGAAAUCUGGUCUUCUGGGCCCGAGUUGUAAUUUGCAGAGGAUGCUUCUGGCAAGGUGCCUUCCGAGUUCCCUGGAACGGGACGCCAUAGAGGGUGAGAGCCCCGUACGGUUGGACACCGAGCCGUUGUGUAGCUCCUUCAACGAGUCGAGUAGUUUGGGAAUGCUGCUCUAAAUGGGAGGUAUAUCUCUUCUAAAGCUAAAUACCGGCCAGAGACCGAUAGCGCACAAGUAGAGUGAUCGAAAGAUGAAAAGCACUUUGAAAAGAGAGUUAAACAGCACGUGAAAUUGUUGAAAGGGAAGCGCUUGUGACCAGACUUGUGCCCGGUGAAUUAGCUGGUGUUCUCACCAGUCGACUUUGCCGGCUCAGGCCAGCAUCGGUUUGUUAUUGGGGAGAAAAACGAUGGGAAUGUGGCUCCUUCGGGAGUGUUAUAGCCCGCCGUAUAAUACCCUUUGGCAGACCGAGGACCGCGCAUCUGCAUGGAUGCUGGCGUAAUGGUCACCAGCGACCCGUCUUGAAACACGGACCAAGGAGUCAACCUUAUGUGCAAGUGUUUGGGUGUUAAACCCCUACGCGGAAUUAACGUGAACGUAGGUGAGAGCCUUCGGGCGCAUCAUCGACCGAUUCUGAUGUUCUCGGAUGGAUUUGAGUAAGAGCACACAGGGUUGGACCCGAAAGAAGGUGAACUAUGCUUGUAUAGGGUGAAGCCAGAGGAAACUCUGGUGGAGGCUCGCAGCGGUUCUGACGUGCAAAUCGAUCGUCAAAUAUGAGCAUGGGGGCGAAAGACUAAUCGAACCUUCUAGUAGCUGGUUCCAGCCGAAGUUUCCCUCAGGAUAGCAGUGUUGAUCUCUCAGUUUUAUGAGGUAAAGCGAAUGAUUAGGGACUCGGGGGCGCUAUUUAGCCUUCAUCCAUUCUCAAACUUUAAAUAUGUAAGAAGCCCUUGUUACUUAGCUGAACGUGGGCAUUCGAAUGUGCAACACUAGUGGGCCAUUUUUGGUAAGCAGAACUGGCGAUGCGGGAUGAACCGAUCGCGUGGAUAAGGCGCCGGAGUGGACGCUCAUCAGACACCACAAAAGGCGUUAGUACAUCUUGACAGCAGGACGGUGGCCAUGGAAGUCGGAAUCCGCUAAGGACUGUGUAACAACUCACCUGCCGAAUGUACUAGCCCUGAAAAUGGAUGGCGCUCAAGCGUCCCGCCCAUACCACGCCCUCGGGGCAGGAACGAUGCCCCGAGGAGUAGGCUGGCGCGAGGGUCAGUGACGAAGCCUAGGGCGUGAGCCCGGGUCGAACGGCCCUCGGUGCAGAUCUUGGUGGUAGUAGCAAAUACUUCAAUGAGAUCUUGAAGGACCGAAGUGGGGAAAGGUUCCAUAUGAACAGCGGUUGGAUGUGGGUAAGCCGAUCCUAAGCCAUAGGGAAGUUCCGUUUCAAAGGGGCACUGCGCCCCGUAUGGCGAAAGGGAAGCUGGUCAAUAUUCCAGCGCCUGGAUGUGGGUUUUGCGCGGCAACGCAACUGAACGUGGAGACGACGGCGGGGGCCCUGGGCAGAGUUAUCUUUUCUUUUUAACAGUCUCGCGACCCUGGAAUCGGUUUGUCCGGAGAUAGGGUUCAAUGGCUGGAAGAGCCCAGCACUUCUGCUGGGUCCGGUGCGCUCUCGACGUCCCUUGAAAAUCCACGGGAGGGAAUAAUUCUCACGCCAGAUCGUACUCAUAACCGCAGCAGGUCUCCAAGGUGAACAGCCUCUGGUUGAUAGAACAACGUAGAUAAGGGAAGUCGGCAAAACAGAUCCGUAACUUCGGGAAAAGGAUUGGCUCUAAGGACUGGGAGCGUUGGGCUUUUAGGCGAAACCAUAGGGGCAGGCAGCUUCCAGCUUUACGGCCGGGGGCCGCCAGCACUUGCGGUGGACUCUAUUUGCAGGCUUCGGCCGUCCGGCGCUCAGUUAACAGUCAACUUAGAACUGGUACGGACAGGGGGAAUCUGACUGUCUAAUUAAAACAUAGCAUUGCGAUGGCCAGAAAGUGGUGUUGGCGCAAUGUGAUUUCUGCCCAGUGCUCUGAAUGUCAAAGUGAUGGAAUUCAACCAAGCGCGGGUAAACGGCGGGAGUAACUAUGACUCUCUUAAGGUAGCCAAAUGCCUCGUCAUCUAAUUAGUGACGCGCAUGAAUGGAUCAACGAGAUUCCCACUGUCCCUAUCUACCAUCUAGCGAAACCACAGCCAAGGGAACGGGCUUGGCAGAAUCAGCGGGGAAAGAAGACCCUGUUGAGCUUGACUCUAGUUUGACAUGGUGAAAAGACAUGAGAGGUGUAGGAUAGGUGGGAGCUUCGGCGCCAGUGAAAUACCACUACUCUCAUUGUUUUUUUACUUACUCAUAAGCGGGGCUGGACUCUUGUCCAACUUCUGGCGUUAAGGUCCUUCGCGGGCCGACCCGGGUUGAGGACAUUGUCAGGUGGGGAGUUUGGCUGGGGCGGCACAUCUGUUAAACCAUAACGCAGGUGUCCUAAGGGGGGCUCAUGGAGAACAGAAAUCUCCAGUAGAACAAAAGGGUAAAAGUCCCCUUGAUUUUGAUUUUCAGUGUGAAUACAAACCAUGAAAGUGUGGCCUAUCGAUCCUUUAAACCCUCGAGAUCUGAGGUUAUAGGUGCCAGAAAAGUUACCACAGGGAUAAACUGGAAGAUGUUUCUGUAAUAUCUAAAUUACUGUCCCAGGCGGCCAUGCAGUUUGACAGCAGCCGUCUAGUCCGAUGCCCUCUGGAUAGCGCUGGGGGGCAUUGCUGUAAGUUUUUAUAAUGGUAGCUACAGCAGGUAGGGAAAGA
This 3264-nucleotide ribosomal RNA is filed under the name Knoxdaviesia proteae. RNAcentral describes it as "eukaryotic LSU rRNA". The stretch from base 344 to 3170 matches the Rfam family "Eukaryotic large subunit ribosomal RNA". Lineage: Eukaryota; Fungi; Ascomycota; Sordariomycetes; Microascales; Gondwanamycetaceae. The record is from RNAcentral.